This 70-nucleotide transfer RNA is filed under the name Dipodomys ordii (Ord's kangaroo rat). It matches the Rfam family "tRNA". Rfam says of the family: Transfer RNA (tRNA) molecules are approximately 80 nucleotides in length. Their secondary structure includes four short double-helical elements and three loops (D, anti-codon, and T loops). The record is from Rfam by way of RNAcentral. Lineage: Eukaryota; Metazoa; Chordata; Mammalia; Rodentia; Heteromyidae.
GGGAAUAUGGUUCAGUGGUAGAGUGCUUGCCUAGCAUGCAUGAGGCCCUGGGUUCGAUUCCUCAGUACCA